GCUGGGCAUGGUGGUGCAUGCCUGUAAUCUCAGAGACUCAAGAGGCUGAGGCAGGAGGAUCAUGAGUUCAAACCAGCUUCAGCAACUUAGCAAGGGCCUAAGCAACUCAGCAAGACCCUGUCUCUA
RNAcentral lists this small RNA (126 nucleotides) under Marmota monax (woodchuck). The record is from RNAcentral. Lineage: Eukaryota; Metazoa; Chordata; Mammalia; Rodentia; Sciuridae.